RNAcentral lists this transfer RNA (88 nucleotides) under Lentzea sp. NBRC 102530. Its description in RNAcentral is "tRNA-Ala". The record is from RNAcentral. Lineage: Bacteria; Bacillati; Actinomycetota; Actinomycetes; Pseudonocardiales; Pseudonocardiaceae.
GCUGGCGUGGCAGAACCGGCGAGACGCCCACUGGCGGUGGGCCGGCGUCGCGACGUUGCUGCUCGCGGUUCCGUUCGCGCACCUGUAC